UCCCUAAUGAUGCUGGACUCAGCCUGAGCCUGAGCUUAAACUGUUGCUCUUGAGAUCUGGGAUGUGAGGGG
Molecule: small nucleolar RNA, 71 nt
Filed under: Drosophila yakuba
Lineage: Eukaryota; Metazoa; Arthropoda; Insecta; Diptera; Drosophilidae
Description: snoRNA:GE27130
Source: RNAcentral